Non-coding RNA from Aphanomyces astaci, 78 nucleotides. Lineage: Eukaryota; Oomycota; Saprolegniomycetes; Saprolegniales; Verrucalvaceae. The record is from Rfam.
GGGGGAAUAGCUCAGGUGGUAGAGCAUCGGUUUCUUAACUCAAAGGUCGUGCGUGGGUUCGAUCCCCGGCUUCCCCCG